AGGACCUCCAUGUGAAGAAAGGCAGCUGAGUCGACUUUUCCUCCGAUGUAUUUUUUUCCAAUCCGGAGGAGAGAUUAGGGUUAGAUCUGAACGAAAACCCUAAAUCUAGUCGCCGCCGCCCCCGCCUCUUUCAAUUGUAGGCGGCUGUCUCGCGAUAGAGAGGGAAAUUCGUCAAGAGAUUCAGAUCCAGGGCUCACCGGCGACGAUGUACGACGACGAUGACGACGAGGAUACGAGUACCGGGAUCUCAGGAUCUUACACUGGAUUGGGAGGUGUUGGAAAAAUAUCAGGGAAUAUACUGUAACGAAUGUGGACGUCCAGGUACACCAUUUAGUUUGGUGUUGAAAAUGCUGCAGGAAUAUUUUCCCUUACCUCAUUUAUGCUAUUGAUGUCAGCAUCCAGACUUAGGCAGCUCCAUGUUUUUGGGUUUAUGAUUUUGGCAACGUUUAUUGGAGUUAUUUGGAGCUUAGCCAUGUUCUGCUUUUACAUGGUUCUGAUGAUAAAAAAACGCACAAUUACAUCGUGUCUACCUGGUCUUUCUUGUUGUAGGAGACCUCAUUGCUGCAUUUGUACAUUCAUCAUCAGCAAUGCAAUCACUUGCACCGGCACUCUUUUUCGUUAUAGACACCAAAUGGUGCUCCGUUAUGUACCCCAAGGAGUGCGAGUUUCUUUUUCUAACAAUUGGAGUAGAUAUGACUGCAUGGUUCUACGCAUUCAUUUCCUUCAUAUUUGUUUUUCAGGCACCGAAUCUCACGGAGGGGUCAGUAAGAAAACGGUAUUGGGCUAAUAAACUUCAAGGUAUCAGACGCUACCUUAUGUAUCCAAGGAGAGCAAGUUUCUUUUUCUAGCAAUUGGAGUAGAUAUGACUAUGGUUCUGCGCAUUCAUUUCCUUCAUAUUUGUGCUUAGGUACCGAAUCUCACGAUAGUAUAAAAUAAUUUUUUUGUUAUAUGUCUUUGUAUUGUCUUGGCUCUACUUAACCAAAACCUAAUGUAGAGUCUUUUUAUUUGGCAAAUUGUUGAGCAAGAGGGAUCAGUAAGAAAACAGUAUUGUGCUAAUAAACUUCAAGGUAUCAGACGCUACCUGUAGGAAAUCAGGUGAAAUGUAUCUACAAGAAAUUGUUUUAGUAUUCUACUAAGUAUUUUUACUGUUUUGAUCAUGGAAUCGUAAUUCUCAAAUAGGAGAAGUUUUCAUCAAUUUAUGAGGUGAAAUGUAUCUUCACGAAAUUCAUUUUGUAUCCCUAUUUUAUGUAUCAGCAUGUGUCUGCUUCGUGUAAUUGUCCCCCCAAACAGGAGGAGUUAUUAUCAAAUCACAGCCUGAGCUGAUAAGAGAAGAGAAAUGAAUUUACAAAGAAUGCCCGUUUACUAUCACCACAUAACUUCACUGCACGAUCAAUCCUCCCAGCCCCGCGAGCAUCUUGAUCAACAUAUUAUACAUAUGUUCAUCAAGAAGUCUUCACGUUAAGCGCGUUAUUUGUCCCAUGGAGUUUACAAUGUAGAGCGA
Molecule: long non-coding RNA, 1501 nt
Organism: Asparagus officinalis (garden asparagus)
Lineage: Eukaryota; Viridiplantae; Streptophyta; Magnoliopsida; Asparagales; Asparagaceae
Exons: 5
Source: RefSeq, a predicted model, not a curated record